GUCAGGAUGGACGCUAGCUACAGGCUUAACACAUGCAAGUCGAGGGGCAGCAUUGGGAUAGCUUGCUAUUCAGAUGGCGACCGGCGCACGGGUGAGUAACGCGUAUCCAACCUUCCUGCCAGUAGGGAACAGCCCGGCGAAAGUCGGAUUAAUGCCCUAUGUUCUUCAAUGCGGACAUCUAAGUUGAAGGAAAGAUUCAUCGCUGGCAGAUGGGGAUGCGUCCGAUUAGCUUGCCGGCGGGGUAACGGCCCACCGGGGCGACGAUCGGUAGGGGUUCUGAGAGGAAGGUCCCCCACACUGGUACUGAGACACGGACCAGACUCCUACGGGAGGCAGCAGUGAGGAAUAUUGGUCAAUGGGCGUAAGCCUGAACCAGCCAAGUAGCGUGCCAGGACGACGGCCCUACGGGUUGUAAACUGCUUUUAUGCGGGGAUAAAGUGCGGCACGUGUGCCGCUUUGCAGGUACCGCAUGAAUAAGGACCGGCUAAUUCCGUGCCAGCAGCCGC
RNAcentral lists this ribosomal RNA (506 nucleotides) under uncultured bacterium. RNAcentral's name for it is "bacterial SSU rRNA". It matches the Rfam family "Bacterial small subunit ribosomal RNA", at positions 23 to 518 of the family's 1533-position model. The record is from RNAcentral.